Long non-coding RNA from Thunnus maccoyii (southern bluefin tuna), 1758 nucleotides. RefSeq lists it as uncharacterized. Lineage: Eukaryota; Metazoa; Chordata; Actinopteri; Scombriformes; Scombridae. The transcript has 3 exons. The record is from RefSeq and is a predicted model, not a curated record.
AUGGUCACUUGGUGAGGUAAUUAAUUGAAUCAAGUAUGCCACAGUUGUUUGAUUUAGAUGAAAGUCCUUCUUGACGCAGACGUCUGGAUUACCGUACGACAGCAUUAUAGGGGUGGCAUCAUUUAACUGCAUGUACAGUCCUCUGUCCGUCUGGAAAAAAGAGAAUAACAGACUAAAUGUUAUUUGAAUACUGUCAACACAUCCAACAUUCAUCCACCUAGGUGAUAGCAUAUGUAUAGGCCUGUAGAAAUGAUGUUGCUGCUCUGACAUUCUUCAACAAUAUUCUCCUUGUCUUUGUCUUAAUUGAGGACAAACCGUUUUAUCACAUUACAGUGGAAUUAAAAUCAAGAAUGUACUAGGCUACAUCUACACAAUUCCAUUGUUAAUCUACAAUAAAUAAUUUACAGAACUUACUAAAGAAGAAGAAUAUUCUACAUAAAGAUUAGAUAUGAAUAUACCAUUGCUACAAAAUGCAUUAGCAACAAAAAAAAAAAAAGAAAAAGAAAAAAGACGCAAGUACCUUUCUCUGGUGCAUCAACGCUAAAAGGAGCUUUAAUGUCCAUGCCUUCUGGAAGCUCUGUUCCUCUGAUCUUCCAACAGCCGGUGGAUCAUGGCAACAGUUGCCACUCCCGAAAGACACUGAUAACAAGAUACCAUGGUUACGAAUGUUACGUAAUAUCCGAUUUCCGCUUGACCGAGGGAAGUUUGUCCCAAAGCUUGCCGCUGUAUUUAUACCCUUCACCUUAAUGAAGGGAACCUCAUUCAGCUGUAAGUGUGACUACAAACAGAGUGCACUCCGUGACGAAGUGGAAGUGGGUAGGGGCUAGUUUGGAAAAGGUCCAAUGUCUGCAGACACAGAAAUGCCAGAGGAUGUGACCAGAACAAGAAGUUUGUCAGCAAGGAAUGAAGAUAUCCAUUCAAUUUACAAGCCAUCUGCUCCUCACUACUGAAAACCAGAGACUGGACACAGAAUACAAGAAGCUUAAAAUUAAGAAGUUGAAGCUGGAAAUUAAGAAACUGGAGAAGGAUGUAAGUAUAAAUUUAAACACAGCAGAAAGCCAUGGUUUGGACUGUAUUUAAUUCUUUUUCUUUUUUGUCUUCACAGCUUGAACAAAAUGAGUCAAUAAAUAACUUCAAUACAAAGUACAAAAUUAUAUUUGCUAUGCUUCCAAAUAAAAGGGAUCCCUCAAAAACAAAGGUGACCUUGAAUAAAAUGGGGAUCAGCUGAAAUAGGUAUUCUUGUAAAGGUCCCUCACUGUUCUUCCAUCCAUGUGUUCCUGAAGGGCUGGGUCAGUGUCUUCCCAUUUGCUCCUCCAGCAACAUUGCAGGCAGUCUCUCACUGCAACGUAGAGUGUCAGUGAUAUGACAUAUUUGGUUAGGAAAGGAAAUAAUUGAUUUGUUAUCUGUAUUUGUGUAAUUCUGAUAAGGUAAAGUGAAACACUAUCUCUGUACAGUACAGGUGCUUCUUUGUGUAAGGCUGACACUGAAUUGCACAUAUCUGUGAACAACUGCCAGGGUAACAGGAUUUUCAUCCAAAGAAGUGUCGACAUCCAAGCUAAUUUGAUCUAUUAACACAGAUUUGCACAUUUCUUCCAGAUCCUAUUAUUACUAUUCUGCCUGACAGUGUAUGGACAGCUGCACCCCAGUACAUACCUGUACAUUUAGGCUAUGGAAACAUUUCCUGUUGAUAUAAUCUGCCUCCUCAGGUCCAGAUGGGGCCUGGAUAUGCACAUGAGUGCAGUCUAUGGCGUCUAUGAC